GACAGGCCAUGCUGCUGAUUGCCAGGACCACACAUAGGGGCUGGCUCUUCAGAGCCGUGGGCAUUCCCUCUGCCACUUGUGGGCUCCGCACUUGCCAAGGACAGCCCAUGCUGGCCACGGGCCUGACAAGCCACAGCAGGAUGGUGGCCACCCAAAAGCCGGUGUGCUCAGCACCCACAUGUGCUGCUUAUGGUGGGGGGAAAAAAAAAAAAGAAAAAUUUUAUUUAAAUCUGUUUCUCUGGAAAAGAAAGACUCAACAGAAGAUGAAAGAGCCCAGUGCCAGAUGCAGAUUCAAGCUUUUUUCUUCCCCAAAGCCACAGGGUUCCUCCCGCAUGGUGUCCUGGUGGGAUGGGUCUGGAGCUGAAGCAGAGGAGCAGCACCACAGGAAAUGGACACUUGGCAUCGCCCUCGUUAAACCUCACCUGGGAUCGACUCCAUGGAAAGGAACAUGAAGGCAACUGGAUGAAAGGUGCCUGAGAAAGGAAGAUGUGAGGGCUCUGUGCUGACCAAACCUCCCCAGCGUGCCCGCAUUCCAUGCAGAGCCAAUGGCUGCCCACAGCAGACGGCCCCAUCCACGCAUGGUGCCAGGAAGGGCUAUGAGCACAUCGCAGAUUCCUGUUGGCAAAACAGGCCAAAGAAAGGCUACAAAAUAAAUAAUCACUUUCAUCUGAACUGCA
RNAcentral lists this long non-coding RNA (677 nucleotides) under Numida meleagris (helmeted guineafowl). RNAcentral describes it as "lncRNA (ENSNMEG00000010989.1)". The record is from RNAcentral. Lineage: Eukaryota; Metazoa; Chordata; Aves; Galliformes; Numididae.